AAAUUAAUGGCAUGUUUGAUUGGGAGGAAUAGAAAUAGGUUGCAGUCCAAUUCAAUGGACCAAUCACCAAACUAAUGUUUGGUUGGCUGUAAUGUCUAUUACGACCUAUAUUGACUCCGUUCCUAUUUAAAGAAGAGGCUGCAUAACCAUUCCCUUCCAUCACUAUUAAAUAUGUAUUGAAUAGGAUUUUUUUUUUUUUUUUGCUUCUCAAUUUUUGCCUCAUCUUUACCCUCCACCUUCGACAAUAGCCUUUCUCACCCAUCCAUCAUCCUUUCUUUCUCUUUUUCUUUUUCUUUUCCUUCUUCCUUCUUUUUCUUCUUUCAAGGAUUCACUGCUUUCAGUUGGGAUCCAAGUUUGCUGUUGUUGAUAUCUGAUCAAUACCAUCCUGCUCGGCAACGGUGGAGUUCGCUGCUUCUACUUAUCUGUGCUUCUUCUCUUGGGUCUCACUCGCAGAUCCACCACCACAAUCAAAAUCGAUUUCCUAGCUUCUGUUUCUCUUCUCGAUGGAUCCCACUUCUCGCCCCGCUGUCGUCAUCGACAAUGACACUAGAUAUAAUAAGAUGGGAUUUGAGGGUAAUGUAGAGCCGAGUUUUAUUCAACCAACAGUAGUAGCAGUUAACGAAUCUCUUUUAAAUAAAUCUAAAGCUUCUUCUAAAUCUAAUUGGUUAGUUCAGUAUUCAGCUGGGGUAAUGACAGAUCUUGAUUUCUUCAUUGGAGAUGAAGCACUCACGCGAUCACGAUCAAGCAAUAACUAUAACAUUAUCCAUCCCAUUAAACAUGGCAAAGUGGAUAAUUGGGAUGCUAUGGAAUGAUAUUGGCAACAAUGUAUUUAUAAUUAUUUACGGUGUGAUCUUAAGGAUUAUUACAUUUCUCUGACUGAAAGUCCACUUACUCUACUCUUGAGAAUUGAGAAUAUAUAGGUGAAAUCAUGUUUGAGACGUUUAAUGUUCCAGGGCUUUAUAUUGCUGUGAAUUAUGUCCUUGCUUUAGCUGUUGGGUACACUACAUCUAAGGUUUGUGACUGGUUAGUGUUCUAUUUUCUGGUAUUAUAUAUCUUCAUGUUAGUUGUUUACUAGUAUGUUGGAUGAAUCAAUUAGGGUCCUUAAUUGUACAUGAUUUUUAGUAUCUUUUAUAUUUAUAAACUACACCUUUUAAGGUUGAAUCUUGAGUGUGAUGUUUGUUCUAGGAUUGUUAGGUAUUCAUCAAACUACUAGCAAUUGAUUUAAAUCCAUUUAGUGAUUGAGAAAGAAUUGGCAUAUAGAUUCUAUCACUAUUCCUUAAGAAUGGUUAAACUUUUGCUUAAUCUAUUGCGUUAAAUUCUCCAUUAAAAAUAAAAUUGUAUGCUUAGAAAUAUAAUAAUUAUGCUUUAUAAGAAACUGUGCAAAUUUGAGAAAAAUUCAUGACCAUGAUAGCAUCUGAUACAUCUGCAAUUGUAGUAAACAUGUAGUGAUCGCAAUAGCUAUUAAUCUCUGGUGCCUACCCUAUACUGUUUCAAUACAUCUAAAUUUGUUUAUUUGUUUAUUUUUCUUUAAUUAUUAAAGAGAACUAUGAUGGAGGCAUAUAGCUGUUGUUAAUCUUGUGGGUGUAAGCUGCGGGUUAUGUUGAAUACUUCAUGCUUGUAGUGUUUAAAGAACUGCUCUAGCUUCUAUUUAGCUUUAGACUAUUUUGGGUGUUGUCUUUCUUGCUAACCAUCAUCAUCCUUAUAUAUUGAUCAUUUUCAUUUAGUUUGACCUAUAGCUUUCUGUAGUACAGGGGUGGUAGCGGAUGUUGGAGAUAGAGCUACGCAUAUAUUACCUGUUGCAAAUAGUUAUGUUAUUGGUAGCAGCAUUAAGUCAAUACAAUAGCAAAAAAGAUGUUACUCUCCUUAUAUAGUAACUGAUGCGAGUAUUUUUUUUCCCAUGACUUGUGAUCUGACACCAUUGAUUGCUAUUUAUUCAAUUUCAAGUACUUAAGGUUAUUACCAUGUCUUGAUGAGAAAAAAAAUACACUUCUUGGCAUUAUUCAGCCUUGUUCAUAGUUGGAUUUAUUGGUGUUCUCGAGUUUUGCACCUAGGCACACCUAUGCCUUGCGCCUUAGCGCUAGGAAACAAAAGCACCUCAACCCUUUCAGACGAGGUGUAUUUGAUCAGGCACACUUUUGGUGCUCUUAACUGCGUUAUUUUUUGUAAGACGAUAGGCAUAAAAAUGCUUGUCUAAUUGAAUCUGGAGUUUUCUACCUUUGUUUA
Long non-coding RNA from Gossypium raimondii (Peruvian cotton), 2223 nucleotides. RefSeq lists it as uncharacterized. The record is from RefSeq and is a predicted model, not a curated record. The transcript is spliced from 2 exons. NCBI's taxonomy places the organism in Eukaryota, Viridiplantae, Streptophyta, Magnoliopsida, Malvales, Malvaceae.